Molecule: long non-coding RNA, 1686 nt
Filed under: Junco hyemalis (dark-eyed junco)
Lineage: Eukaryota; Metazoa; Chordata; Aves; Passeriformes; Passerellidae
Description: lncRNA (ENSJHYG00000006073.1)
Source: RNAcentral
CCCCAACGGCGGCUCCGGCUGUCCCCGCUCCCCCCCAAACCCAAAAACCCGAGAUCCGCUUUGAUGUCGCCUUCAGAAAAGUUCACUUUAUUUACAAGGGGGGCUCCCCCCUGUUUACACGCGCCCAUUUGUAAAAUUAGCCGACCCCCCUGACAAAAACGCAAAGGAAUGGCUGAGAAAUAAAUAAACCUCUCCCCCACUCCGAGGCGGAAAGGCUCCAAGCCAGCGGGGCUCUGCUCCCCCCCGGCCCGGGGCUCAGGCGAUCCUGCUGCAGAACUCGUCGAAGUCCCUCUCCAUGAAGAGCUCGCUCUCGAUCACAUCGUCCUCCGAGGGGAAGUACUGCUGGCUCUCCUCCUGCGGGGAGCCCGCGGCCGCAUCGGCCCCGGCCCGGGCGGGCGGGGAGCGGGCGGCGGCUCCGGGCUCCCCCGCGCACUCCAUCAGCGCGCCGCGGGCGUUCUCCAGCACCCCCAGGUACGAGUCCAUGUCCAGCGGGUCCAUCUCGCAGUCCGACCCGCCGCUCUCGGUGCCCACCGAGUCCGAGCGCAGGUGCAUGAGCUGGUACUUCUCCCGCAUCAGGAACUGGUUGGUGUUGCGGGGCGCCCGCAUGCCCGGCGCCCGCCUGCCCAGCACAUUGACGGGCCGCAGGGAGAGCAGCACCCGCGGUCGCGCCGGGCGGUGGCAGCGGCGGAAGGCGCGGCAGUGCUGCUGCUGCAGCUGCUGGUGCAGGUAGUGCUGGAAGUGGCUGUGCGUGCGGCUGCCCAGCAGCUUCCGCGCCCCGCCGGGGACCCUGCCGCGCCGCCCGGGCGGCCAACGGGAGCGGCUGCCGCCCCGCCGGGGCUCGCCGCCCUUCAGCGGCGUCGGGGAGGCGCCCCCCGGCACCCCCUCGCCGCGGGCGGGCUCCCAGGGCGGGCACACGAUGAACUCCGCGCGUCGCAGCAUCGCGGCCCCCCGGCCUCUCACAUGCUCCGAGCCGCCGGGACGCCCCCGCCGCGCUGCUCCUGCGCCGUCGCCUCUCCGGCGCGUCCUCAGCUUCUCUCCGGGCUGAGCGGCCGCUUCCCAAGAGCCCUGCGGGGGCCUCUGCGGGCGCCUCUACCUUUUCACGAUCCGCUCUGUUUUUUUCUUGAGCGGAGCCCGUUGGCAGCGCAUAGCCUGGCUGAACGGCUGCGGGCUGCGGGGCAGCUUGACGGGUUCCAAGCCGCCUCUUCGGAGAUGGUCUCGCCUACUCCCCGGCCGGGCGCUGCCGGGCUGUCAGCGCUGCGCCGGGCACGGCGGGCCGGGGCAGGGCCCGGGAGCGAAGCGAGCGAGGGCAGGGGAGGGGAAGGCGCCGAGGCUCAGGGACAGCACAGGGAGCGCGCGCACCGCCCGCCGCCCCGCGCCCACUGCCGACGCGCUCCCGCGCAGCCCCUAGUUAUCACCUCCGGCGCAGUCCAACUGCCGCUGCGCCGCGGGGGGAGCCGGGGCGGCACAGCCGCUCCUCAGCUGGCCUGUCCCCGCCAAACUUGGCCCUCCGCGCCCGGGGAGUGUGGGGGCUCCGCGGCACCGCAGCCCGCACGCUCGUAUCUCCCGUGUUAUCCCGGGUUAUCCCGGGAUCUCUUCCCCCUUGGGCGCGCUUUGGCUUGGCCCAGAGCUGCGGGCGCAUUUUUGUUCAUCUCUUAUUCACGAAGGGCGUUUACGCUCAGCUCGCCG